RNAcentral lists this long non-coding RNA (346 nucleotides) under Fukomys damarensis (Damara mole-rat). RNAcentral's name for it is "lncRNA (ENSFDAG00000030521.1)". Lineage: Eukaryota; Metazoa; Chordata; Mammalia; Rodentia; Bathyergidae. The record is from RNAcentral.
CCUGCUUGUCCUUCUCAUCUUAUCACUUGGCCCUCUCUGCCUUCUGUUUUAUCUUCCGGCAAUCCCUAGCCAUCUGAAGCCCUGGCGCUCCCGUCUCCUGCCGCGUUUCUCUCCUCCCUCUCUGUAAUCCGGCCGCCGAUCCACGGAAGCAGGAGCCCAGCUCAUGUACCUGGGAGCCCUGUCUGGCACACAGCACGUCCUUCACAAACUGAUGGCUCCCUGUGCCUGCAGGGAAGGCAGCACCACGAUUGUGUUGGACGGCAGCUGAGAGCAGAUCAGAGAGGGAGGGGCCGCGCUCUCAGUUGCUGAAGCUCCCUUCUCCCCUAAGAGCAGCGGCCCUGAAGUG